RNAcentral lists this transfer RNA (97 nucleotides) under Amycolatopsis sp. YIM 10. Its description in RNAcentral is "tRNA-Pro". Lineage: Bacteria; Bacillati; Actinomycetota; Actinomycetes; Pseudonocardiales; Pseudonocardiaceae. The record is from RNAcentral.
UCGCCGCCAGGGCGGCCGGGGUGCUGCGGCGGCUCGGGCUCGCCGACGACGCCGGUCCGUCGCGCCCGGUCCGGUUCACCGAGCCGGUGGUGGUCGA